AACUGUUUGCACCCCGAAGCCUGAAAGAGUGAAGUAGGGUGGGAUUACCUGGAAAGAGAGAGAGAGACAGAAGGAGAAUGAGAUUGAGGGAAGGGCUGCCUGGCAGGGGAAGCUGACGCCUUCAGGCAAGUGAAGAAGCCAGCCCGCAGCAACUCUGCAGGGAAGAAUAUAGGGAAAUAAACGCCUUCAUCUCUCUCUUGUCCCACCCGCAGAGCUCCUUCUGGGAUUCUCUAUUGGCUGAACUCAGCCAGAAGCUGCCAAGGGAGACCCCCACAACUGGAUGCAGCCCACUGAAGUCAGCUUCCUGGGGUGCGUAGCUGAAGGUAGCAGGGAGCAAAAAGAAUCUGAAGGGGAAGUGAACAAUGUAGAGCGUAUCUGUGCUGAAGACGUAAGGAGAGAGUGGAGGUCAGAAGCUGGCAUGGUCCCUGGUGCAUGUAUCAGCCGCUAAAGAAGUGGAGAGUAUGAACAUAAGCAAGAGGAAGUGAUGAGUAUCCCUUCCAGGAGAACUCUAAGAGGCAGUGAGUGAUUUGCUGGGCUCCCAAGCCCUCUGCUCUGAUGACAGCAAAGCCCCAAAUCAUGGUGCCUCCAUCAGUCGGGACCCCUCAGCAGAGCCAGCUUCACAGCUGGAGUGGAUGAAUCAGAACUUUCCCCAUGGGAGCAUUUAUAAAAAGGGGACACCCAGCGCAGAAGAUGUUUUCCAGGGAGAUCUCGGGGAGCCCAACAAGCCAAGAAGAGCAGAGCAAAGCAUUCCAAGGAAGGACUCUAAGUCUGCAACCGAGCACACACGAGCACAAGGAAAGACCAUGUGAAUACACAGCAAGAACGUGGUGCUCUGCAAGUCAGAAACAGACCCGUCAUCAGACACCAAAUCAGCCAGCACCUUGAUCUAGGAUUUCUGGCCUCCAAAACAGAUGGGAAUAGGGACAUCUGCUGCAUUUGGCUGUUGGAGAAACACAAGGAAAUCAUGGACAAGUGCCAGGUGUGGUGACACUCGUCUGUAGUCCUAGCAGCUCAGGAGGCUGAGACGGGAGGAUCCCUUGAGUGCAGGAGUUUGAGGCUGCAGUGAGCUAUAAUGGUACUACUAUACUCCAGCCUGCACAAUGCAACAAAACCACAUCUGUAAUCAUCAUCAUCAUGAUCAGAGCAAACCCUACUCAGUGGCUCACCCCAGCGUGUGAUCCUAUGUGUUAAUUCCCUCCUAUACAUGAGGGCUGCACAAGCUCAGAUGGGCUUAUUCUACUGAAAAUUCAGAUAAACAUGGAGAAAAGGUGGGAGGGCAGGUGGGCUGGAGAGGUGCAGUAGGGCAGUCCGGAAGAAGAGGAGCAGCACGUGGUGGAAAAAACUGAGAUGGGCCCUAAGUCUCAGCAGGGCCAGGUCACUGGCUUGUGACCCCUGCAGUCUCUCAGAACCCUGAAGGCCUGGAGCUCUGUUUAAUGCUCUGUCACCUAUGGUCAUGAAAUUCUUAUUAUGGGAUAAGAUCCCUUGUCCAAACAAGGGUCUCUGCAUUGUCAUUUUGCACUGGGUCCUGCAAGUUAUUUGCUAAUCCUGAGUCUCAGCCUAUGUAGCCCUUCUAUGACUGCAUUUCGGCUUCUGCAUCUGCAAAACAGCUACAUUAGAUGGGGACCGAGGGAGGCUAAGGGUGAUGCCUGCCCACCUCUGAGAGCCUUCCUGAGCUAUUGGUAAGCACUUCCCUAUGCCCAGCGAGGUGCUUGACACUAAAUAAAUGUUAAACACCCCAGUGAGUUUUAGACUCAAUGACGCCCAAAUGCCUAGCUGUGGAAUAGUGAGGAGUUAAAUCAAAGGAAUUUGGAGCCAGGCAGACGUGGGUUCAAAUCCUAACCCUUCCACUCACUGGUCAUGGGACCUUGGGCAAAUUCCCGUACUUUUCUGCAACAGGCUGACUUCAUCGCUAAAAUGAGGAUGAUAAUAGUCUCUCCUGCCUAGGUUGUUGGAUAAGCGGGGGAGUUACGUGAAAUUAUGUGUGUUAAGUACCAUGCCGGGCAUUUAAACAGUAACUGCUAACAUUCGUUUAUUUACCAUCUGAACACCUACUUUGUGCCAGGCACUGUGCAAGUCUUUGAGGAUACAGUGGUAAACAAGACAGUCGCAGCCCUGACGUGGAGGUGGAAUGUAAACAAAAAAGCAGGCAAGGGUGGCAGGUGCCUUCAGAUGGUGGCACACACACUCUAAGCAUCUUAGUAGAACAAGGGCAAAGAGUGGGGCUAGGCUGCGGGGCGUGUGACAGUCCCUUCCCAUUCAGAAAUUAAACUCUCUGUGAGCUACAGCCAAAGAUUUCAAUCCCACUCUCCAAUGCAUCUCUGUUGUAGAAGAGAAUUAUUUUCCAGAAAUUCCCAGAAGAUUCCCCCACCUCUAUGUCUGGAGAUGGUGCUAGGUUUCUCCCAUCUCCAGGAAGGCAAAUGACCUCUCCCCCAGAACCCCAAACAAAUUCCCCUCACCAGGAGCCCUCAGACCCCACCCUGGAGCUUGUGAGCGCUAAGAACGAGCAGAAAGGGAAAUGAACAAAUUAUCUUGAUAAUUUGUUUAAGAAGGGGAAAAAAAGUCACCCAAGAAAAAUGAUAUCCAAUAAGACGGUGGGUUUCUAAUGAAUGUGCGGGUAAUGAAAUAAACCCGUUUAGGCCACGCUUGGCCCUGAUCUUCCCAGGCCUAGAUUAAAAAAUGGAACAUCUGUGAUGAUUUAAUUUACAUCUUAAUAACAAACAGGCCUCGAGAAACCCGCGGAUAAAUGCCUUUUAUUGCCGGCGUAUCUUUUGCAGUGCAGCUUGAAUGAAAACUCUGGUAAUUAAUUGUUUUAAG
RNAcentral lists this long non-coding RNA (2814 nucleotides) under Homo sapiens (human). Its description in RNAcentral is "HSALNT0405430". The record is from RNAcentral. Lineage: Eukaryota; Metazoa; Chordata; Mammalia; Primates; Hominidae.